GAAAUGCGAUACGUAAUGUGAAUUGCAGAAUUCAGUGAAUCAUCGAGUCUUUGAACGCACAUUGCGCCCUCUGGUAUUCCGGGGGGCAUGCCUGUCCGAGCGUCAUUGCUGCCCUCAAGCACGGCUUGUGUGUUGGGCCCCCCCCGUCCCGGGUCUCCAGCCAGGGCGGGCCCGAAAGGCAGCGGCGGCCCCCUGUCCGGGCGUCAUGGCUGCCCUCAAGCACGGCUUGUGUGUUGGGCCCCCCCCGUCCCGGUUCUCCAGCCAGGACGGGCCCGAAAGGCAGCGGCGGCACCGUGUCCGGUCCUCGAGUGUAUGGGGCUCUGUCACCCACUCGUGUAGGCCCGGCCGGCGGCCAGCCUCUUCAACCAAACUUCUUUAACCAGGUUGACCUCGGAUCAGGUAGGGAUACCCGCUGAACUUAA
RNAcentral lists this unclassified non-coding RNA (422 nucleotides) under uncultured Aspergillus. Its description in RNAcentral is "sequence contains ITS1". The stretch from base 1 to 105 matches the Rfam family "5.8S ribosomal RNA", at positions 50 to 154 of the family's 154-position model. Lineage: Eukaryota; Fungi; Ascomycota; Eurotiomycetes; Eurotiales; Aspergillaceae. The record is from RNAcentral.